This 449-nucleotide ribosomal RNA is filed under the name uncultured bacterium. RNAcentral's name for it is "bacterial SSU rRNA". It matches the Rfam family "Bacterial small subunit ribosomal RNA", at positions 354 to 796 of the family's 1533-position model. The record is from RNAcentral.
GUCGAGAAUUUUUCUCAAUGGGGGAAACCCUGAAGGAGCGACGCCGCGUGGGGGAUGAAUGGCUUCGGCCCGUAAACCCCUGUCAUUUGCGAUCAAACCUCACGACUUAACACGUCGUGAGCUGAUAGUAGCGGAAGAGGAAGGGACGGCUAACUCUGUGCCAGCAGCCGCGGUAAUACAGAGGUCCCAAGCGUUGUUCGGAUUCACUGGGCGUAAAGGGUGCGUAGGCGGUCGGGUAAGUCUGACGUGAAAUCUUCAAGCUCAACUUGGAAACUGCGUCGGAUACUAUUCGGCUAGAGGAAUGGAGGGGAGACUGGAAUACUUGGUGUAGCAGUGAAAUGCGUAGAUAUCAAGUGGAACACCAGUGGCGAAGGCGAGUCUCUGGACAUUUCCUGACGCUGAGGCACGAAAGCCAGGGGAGCAAACGGGAUUAGAAACCCGUGUAGUCC